UACGGAGGGUGCGAGCGUUACCCGGAUUUACUGGGUGUAAAGGGCGUGUAGGCGGUCUCUCAAGUCCGAUGCUAAAGACCGAAGCUCAACUUCGGGGGUGCGUUGGAUACUGUGAGGCUAGACGGUCGGAGAGGGUAGCGGAACUUCCAGUGGAGCGGUGAAAUGCGUUGAUAUUGGAAGGAACGCCGGAGGCGAAAGCGGCGCACUGGAUCUCUUCUGACGCUGAGGCGCGAAAGCUAGGGGAGCAAACGGG
RNAcentral lists this ribosomal RNA (253 nucleotides) under uncultured bacterium. Its description in RNAcentral is "partial 16S ribosomal RNA". It matches the Rfam family "Bacterial small subunit ribosomal RNA", at positions 524 to 776 of the family's 1533-position model. The record is from RNAcentral.